Molecule: ribosomal RNA, 253 nt
Filed under: uncultured bacterium
Lineage: Bacteria
Description: partial 16S ribosomal RNA
Rfam family: Bacterial small subunit ribosomal RNA
Source: RNAcentral
UACGGAGGAUGCGAGCGUUAUCCGGAAUGAUUGGGCGUAAAGGGUCCGCAGGUGGCAGUGUAAGUCUGCUGUCAAAGAAUGAGGCUUAACCUCAUCAAGGCAGUGGAAACUACACAGCUAGAGUACGGUCGGGGUAGAAGGAAUUCCUGGUGUAGCGGUGAAAUGCGUAGAGAUCAGGAAGAACACCGGUGGCGAAAGCGUUCUGCUAGACCUGUACUGACACUGAGGGACGAAAGCUAGGGGAGCGAAUGGG